RNAcentral lists this transfer RNA (76 nucleotides) under Mycoplasma sp. RNAcentral's name for it is "tRNA-Val". It matches the Rfam family "tRNA". From Rfam's summary of the family: Transfer RNA (tRNA) molecules are approximately 80 nucleotides in length. Their secondary structure includes four short double-helical elements and three loops (D, anti-codon, and T loops). Further hydrogen bonds mediate the characteristic L-shaped molecular structure. tRNAs have two regions of fundamental functional importance: the anti-codon, which is responsible for specific mRNA codon recognition, and the 3' end, to which the tRNAs corresponding amino acid is attached (by aminoacyl-tRNA synthetases). tRNAs cope with the degeneracy of the genetic code in two manners: having more than one tRNA (with a specific anti-codon) for a particular amino acid; and 'wobble' base-pairing, i.e. permitting non-standard base-pairing at the 3rd anti-codon position. Lineage: Bacteria; Bacillati; Mycoplasmatota; Mollicutes; Mycoplasmatales; Mycoplasmataceae. The record is from RNAcentral.
GGAGUGAUAGCUCAGCCGGGAGAGCAUCUGCCUUACAAGCAGGAGGUCGGGGGUUCGAUCCCCUCUCACUCCACCA